AUUGAACGCUGGCGGCAGGCUUAACACAUGCAAGUCGAACGGUAACAUAAAGAAGCUUGCUUCUUUGAUGACGAGUGGCGGACGGGUGAGUAAUGCUUGGGAAUCUAGCUUAUGGAGGGGGAUAACUACGGGAAACUGUAGCUAAUACCGCGUAGUAUCGAGAGAUGAAAGUGUGGGACCUUCGGGCCACAUGCCAUAGGAUGAGCCCAAGUGGGAUUAGGUAGUUGGUGAGGUAAAGGCUCACCAAGCCGACGAUCUCUAGCUGGUCUGAGAGGAUAACCAGCCACACUGGGACUGAGACACGGCCCAGACUCCUACGGGAGGCAGCAGUGGGGAAUAUUGCGCAAUGGGGGCAACCCUGACGCAGCCAUGCCGCGUGAAUGAAGAAGGCCUUCGGGUUGUAAAGUUCUUUCGGUAGCGAGGAAGGCAUUUAGUUUAAUAGACUAGGUGAUUGACGUUAACUACAGAAGAAGCACCGGCUAACUCCGUGCCAGCAGCCGCGGUAAUACGGAGGGUGCGAGCGUUAAUCGGAAUAACUGGGCGUAAAGGGCACGCAGGCGGUGACUUAAGUGAGGUGUGAAAGCCCCGGGCUUAACCUGGGAAUUGCAUUUCAUACUGGGUCGCUAGAGUACUUUAGGGAGGGGUAGAAUUCCACGUGUAGCGGUGAAAUGCGUAGAGAUGUGGAGGAAUACCGAAGGCGAAGGCAGCCCCUUGGGAAUGUACUGACGCUCAUGUGCGAAAGCGUGGGGAGCAAACAGGAUUGGAUACCCUGGUAGUCCACGCUGUAAACGAUGUCGAUUUGGGGGUUGAGCUUUAAGUUUGGCGCCCGUAGCUAACGUGAUAAAUCGACCGCCUGGGGAGUACGGCCGCAAGGUUAAAACUCAAAUGAAUUGACGGGGGCCCGCACAAGCGGUGGAGCAUGCGGAUUAAUUCGAUGCAACGCGUAGAACCUUACCUGGGUUUGACAUGGAUCGGGAGUGCUCAGAGAUGGGUGUGCCUCUUUUGGGGUCGGUUCACAGGUGGUGCAUGGCUGUCGUCAGCUCGUGUCGUGAGAUGUUGGGUUAAGUCCCGCAACGAGCGCAACCCUUGUUCACUGUUGCCAGCACGUUAUGGUGGGGACUCAGUGGAGACCGCCGGGGUCAACUCGGAGGAAGGUGGGGAUGACGUCAAGUCAUCAUGCCCCUUAUGUCCAGGGCUUCACGCAUGCUACAAUGGCUGGUACAGAGAGUGGCGAGCCUGUGAGGGUGAGCGAAUCUCGGAAAGCCGGUCUCAGUUCGGAUUGGGGUCUGCAACUCGACCUCAUGAAGUCGGAGUCGCUAGUAAUCGCAGAUCAGCAACGCUGCGGUGAAUACGUUCCCGGGGCU
This 1364-nucleotide ribosomal RNA is filed under the name uncultured bacterium. Its description in RNAcentral is "bacterial SSU rRNA". It matches the Rfam family "Bacterial small subunit ribosomal RNA", at positions 28 to 1381 of the family's 1533-position model. The record is from RNAcentral.